Molecule: long non-coding RNA, 1703 nt
Organism: Callithrix jacchus (white-tufted-ear marmoset)
Lineage: Eukaryota; Metazoa; Chordata; Mammalia; Primates; Cebidae
Source: RefSeq, a predicted model, not a curated record
UAGAAAACCACAGGAUUCUGAAGUUCAUUCUGCCAGUGAUAUAAAAGGAAACCCUUAGAGGCAAUGUCAGCAGGCAGGGCUUAUUAAAGUUCACUGAACCUGGAGCUCCUCCCCUGCACAUCUGCCCCUCAUCUCUCUGAUACUCCUCCCUGGCGGUGAGCAACGGUGGUUGAGAUUGGUCUCAGCAACCUCCUGGAGCUUUACCCACGGCAAUGAAGAUUCUUUGGACAUUUUAUUUUGAAGGGAUCUGGCAAUGGAUACCAACAUGACUGAAGACGUGUUCUUCGGAAUAGUAUCCUAUGGAAUCGCUCUGGUGAACACUUUCUUUUCUGGUGCCUCUUGUGGAACGAUUUUUUUUUUUUUUUUUUUUGGCCUCAACAACCCUUGUCUGUGAACUAUAUUUCUGCUGAUACUUUUUAUUGUUUUAUUUCAUGUUGGAUAGAUAAACGUAUCUACAAGUGAGCCUUUUUUAGACAAUGCUACCUCUGCAUCCUGUAAUUUUAUUCCUGGAGAUAUUUUUUCAACAGUGGUAACUGAGAAAUUUUUUCCUUUCUAAUGAUACUUUGGAAUCAAUAUCUUCUGACCAUGAGUCUAAAGGACAGCAGACCUAAGACAUCUAUGAAGUGCCAGCCUGACUUCUGAACACAGCUCCCAAAGUUCUGCUUUCUGGGAACCUUACUGGAACUCUCUUCCCUCUGUGACAUUUGGACUUGCCUUUUGUUGAAAGACACUAAGGUAGUUUCUUCUUGACAACUGAAUCUCAAACAUCAAAGCGGAAAGACCCAGAGAGCCUUCCCUUAGCCAUUGUGACAUGCAGUAUGCCUCAGCAGUAAGCCACCCUGAAAAACUGUCAGCCGAGCAUCCAGCUGUCUUCAUACAAAUUACAAAUUUUCAUCCUUCCAGGAAAAUUCACCAUCAUUUCUCUCCUGACGACAUCUUCUUAUAACCACAUUUUCAGUUGAUUUAAGCUAUUCAUUCUCUCUUAUAUUCUGAAAAUGUCAGUUUGUAAUAUCAUGACUUUUGCAUUUGUUCCCCCCAAAGUUGUUCUUUAUAUUCCUUUUCUUUUCUUUUUUUUGAGACAGAGUCUUGCUCUGUUGCCAGCUGUCAGGCUGGAGUACAGUGGUGCAAUCCGUACAGUGGGAGGCUCACUGCAAUCUCCGCCUCCCAGGUUCAAGCAAUUCUCCUGCCUCAGUCUCCCUAGUAGCUGGGAUUACAGAUGCACGCCACCACGCCCAGCUAAUCUUUGUAUUUUUUAGUCUAGGCGGUGUUUCACCAUGUUGACCAGGAUGGUCUCGAUCUCUUGACCUCGUGAUCCACCCGCCUCGGCCUCCCAAAGUGCUGGGAUUAUAGGCAUGAGCCAUCCCACCCAGCCUCUUUUUAUUCCUUUUCUUAAGGUAGAAAGGGGUAUUUGUUUUUUUCAUAGCAUAUUAUUCAACCAUUUGAAAAUAGAUUUGUAAUCUGCAUAAAAAUAUAACAUGAUAUCAUUCAGUACUAAAUAGUCAAAAGGAUCUUGUCACAGGGAAAUAGUAUUCUAUCACUGGGAAGAACUUUAUAAACUUUAUCACUUAUAUUGUUGUAACAGUGUGUCUAAAGUAUCUAAUACAAAUUUUUGAAGUUUCUUGUUUGGGGCUGUCAAUUCUUAGGGAGUUGGUUAAUUCUGGCUGGUAAUCAAGACAAAUAAAAUAUGCAUGAGAAAGCCUAAA